AGAUAAAUUUAAAAAAAAAUUCCAUUUACUGUUGCACAAAAAGAAUAAAAUACCCAGUUGUAAAGUUAACCAAGGAGAUGAGAGACCCAUACUCUGAAAACUAUAAAACACUGAUGAAAGAAACUGAAGACAACACAAAUGGAAAUACAUUCUAUAUUCAUGA
Herpailurus yagouaroundi (jaguarundi) is the source of this 163-nucleotide long non-coding RNA. RefSeq lists it as uncharacterized. The record is from RefSeq and is a predicted model, not a curated record. The transcript has 3 exons. Lineage: Eukaryota; Metazoa; Chordata; Mammalia; Carnivora; Felidae.